UACGGAGGGCGCAAGUGUUAUCCGGAAUCACUGGGUUUAAGGGUUGCGUAGGCUGCUGCAUAAUUCAGGGGUGAAAGGUUGUCGCUUAACGAUAGAAUUGCCUUUGAUACUGUGCGGCUUAAAAGUAGGUGAGGUUGGCGGAAUGUGACAUGUAGCGGUGAAAUGCGUAGAUAUGUCAUAGAACACCGAUUGCGAAGGCAGCUGGCUAACCUACAUUUGACUCUGAGGCACGAAAGCGUGGGUAGCUAACAGG
This 253-nucleotide ribosomal RNA is filed under the name uncultured bacterium. RNAcentral's name for it is "partial 16S ribosomal RNA". It matches the Rfam family "Bacterial small subunit ribosomal RNA", at positions 524 to 776 of the family's 1533-position model. The record is from RNAcentral.